UUUCGAUAAAAAAAUUUUAAAAAAUAAUAUUUUUGUAAAAACGAUCACUUGUGGUCAAACAUUUCUCAAUAAUUUUGUAAUACCCAAUUAUUGACCCGACCCAAACCAUCUUAAUUGCCCCUUUUCCUUUGUAAUUAUCCUAGUAUCUCAAUUCAUCACAAUCAACUACCUCACCUCAGCUCACCGACCCGACCUCUCCAACAGCAACUCACCGACAGCUCAUCUCAGUGACCAUAGGAGAUUAUACAACCUAGGAGAUUCUGCCAGAUCUGUUAAAGAUUUUUUGACUGAACUCGAAUUUGAGAAAAGGAUUAUUUUGCUAUUUUUCUGUGACCGCUUGUCUCUUUUUCUUCUCGCUCCAACAACUCCAGAAGGACAAGAAUAUUUCUAAUACUAUAUAAAAGAUGGAAAAGUAACAACAGUAAUCUUACUGAGCUGUUUGAUGCAUACAACCUGUUCAACCUUGGUAUAAGAGGUAAAUAAUGCAUCGCCUUAAGAACAAUUUUACUUCCAUGACAACCACGCUUAUAGCGAGGGUGUGGAAAAAAUUUAGAAGAGUCUAGUUUGGCAUCUUCCUUAAAGUAUAACAUGCAACCAUUUUCACAACAAUCAAUUCUAAUCGAGGAGACACCUAACUAUGACACCAUUCUUUUUGCCUUAUAAAAAGAAUCGAAAAACUCUAAAGUGGGGUCAACUAACUCUUUAAUAAAGUCUAUCAUAGAGUCCAUUCUUCAAUCAGAUUUAAUACUUAAUAAUCUUACAACAAUAGACAAUUGAGAGUGCUAACACCCAUCAAACAAAGGAUGACGCAACAUGCAAUUCUUCAUAAAAACGGUGUGCUUCUCAAUUGGGAACAUCUUCGACAUUUUCCCUACAUUCGACCCCUUGUUGCAUCCCAAAAGCAUCAUGCACUAUUUCUGUCAUCCUAAUAUCUUGAUAGUUAUUAUGCCCUGCAGACCUAUUACUUUCACCAACAACAAAGUUAUUUUGCCCAACUUCACCAUGACUAGUAUGCAAUCUUAAAAGAUCCUCAUGAAACCUUUUUCUAUAAAGAUGAUCCUUCACAACUUCUUUUAGAAGACUUGUACCAUCACAUUUUACACAAGAACAACGAAUCGCCAGCAAGAGUGACCAGUCAUCAAGUGUUUUGGCAUGUUCGAUAAAUCGAUUGACACCUUCAACAAAUUCUACCCUAAGACCCACUCUAUUAUCCAGUGUUGUAAAAGGUGCUCGCGAAUGGCGAGGUGAGGCAUAGUCACCUCUUAUCGUCGUGGCAAGGCGAAAUUCAAAAGGCGACGCCUUUUCGAGAAAGGCGACGAUGGCGUCACCUUUUUAAUUUUUUUUAAAAAAAUAGGUUUUUAAGGUUAAAAAGUUAAUUUUUGGGCAUAUUUUCAUAUUUUGGCUAUACCAACUUACUCAUUGGCGACUGCGGCUACUACCUACUCACAACUUUCAAGUUUGACUUCAACUCUGGCGUCCGACGACUCCCCCUACUCCAGUAAGUCUUGAUUUCUAUUUUUUUCUUCUUUCUUCUUAUUCUUCUUAAUCCGACGGCUGAACAUUGACAUGCUAUUUUUUCUUCUUCCACCUUUUCUCUUCUUUUUCUAUUAUGUAAAAGCGAUACAAUGUUACAACACACUGUCACUGACUCACUGUAACAAACUAACAGUAAGCUGUAAGCACUGCAUAAAUUUAUUAUGUAAUUUUUUUUUAAUAUCUUAUAUAACAUUGUAUGACAAGGGAAAAACAACAAGUUCAAGUUAGACUUGGCCCUAGUUGAUGAAGAAUCCAAAGAGGAAGAAGAUGAGGGGCAAUAUAAUGAAAUGCAUGUUGGCAUUGAAGAUUAUGCGAAUCUUGAAGAAGAAUAAACUUUAAAGUUAUAGUACUGCUCGUUUUAUGAAUAUUGGAUUGUUGAGUAAUUCAAGUUCUAUACUUUUAGUAUUUAUUUACUGUCUAUUUUUAAUUCUUGACUUGAAAUAUUUCUUAAUAUAUUAGUACUAUUGAUAUUUUGAUCA
This is a long non-coding RNA of Capsicum annuum, 2015 nucleotides long. RefSeq lists it as uncharacterized. The transcript has 2 exons. The record is from RefSeq and is a predicted model, not a curated record. Lineage: Eukaryota; Viridiplantae; Streptophyta; Magnoliopsida; Solanales; Solanaceae.